Molecule: small nuclear RNA, 102 nt
Filed under: Propithecus coquereli (Coquerel's sifaka)
Lineage: Eukaryota; Metazoa; Chordata; Mammalia; Primates; Indriidae
Source: RNAcentral
GUGCUCGCUUCGGCAGCACAUAUACUAAAAUUGGAAUGAUGCAGAGAAGAUUAGCAUGGCCCCUGGGGGAAAAAAAAAGGAUGAGAUAUACACCACGGGGCA